UACGUAGGUGGCAAGCGUUAUCCGGAAUUAUUGGGCGUAAAGCGUGCGUAGGUGGUUCGUUAAGUCUGAUGUGAAAGCCCUGGGCUCAACCUGGGAAUGGCAUUGGAUACUGGCGACCUAGAGUGCGGUAGAGGGGUGUGGAAUUCCCGGUGUAGCAGUGAAAUGCGUAGAUAUCGGGAGGAACAUCUGUGGCGAAGGCGACACCCUGGACCAGCACUGACACUGAGGCACGAAAGCGUGGGGAGCAAACAGG
This 253-nucleotide ribosomal RNA is filed under the name uncultured bacterium. Its description in RNAcentral is "partial 16S ribosomal RNA". It matches the Rfam family "Bacterial small subunit ribosomal RNA", at positions 524 to 776 of the family's 1533-position model. The record is from RNAcentral.